GAUGAACGCUGGCGGCGUGCUUAAUACAUGCAAGUCGAACGGAGUAUGUAGCAAUACGUACUUAGUGGCGAACGGGUGAGUAACGCGUUGGUGACCUGCCUCGAAGAGAGGGAUAACAGUUCGAAAGGAUUGCUAAUACCUCAUGUGAUCAUAGGGUUUAGAAGCCUAUGAUUAAAGGAGUAAUUCACUUCGAGAGGGACCUGCGUACCAUCAGCUAGUUGGUGAGGUAACGGCCCACCAAGGCGAUGACGGUUAGGGGACCUGAGAGGGUGGCCCCCCACAAUGGAACUUGAAACACGGUCCAUACACCUACGGGUGGCAGCAGUAGGGAAUAUUAGUUAAUGUGCGAAAGCGCGAACUAGCAACGCCGCGUGUGCGGAUGAAGGCCUUCGGGUUGUAAAGCACUUUUCCAAGGGACGAGGAAGGACGGUACCUUGGGAAUAAGCAUCGGCUAACUACGUGCCAGCAGCCGCGGUAAAACGUAGGAUGCAAGCGUUUAUCCCGGAAAUUCCUGGGCGUAAAGGGGCGUGUAGGCGGACCUGUAAGUCUAUUCUGAAAGCUCCUGCCUCUCUGGGAGAGGCGAAUGGAGACUGCAGAUCUAGAGUGAGGAAGAGGAAAGUGGAAUUCCGCGUGUAGUGGUGAAAUGCGUAGAGAUGCGGAGGAACACCAGUGGCGAAAGCGACUUUCUGGUCCUUAACUGACGCUGAGGCGCGAAAGCAUGGGGAGCGAACGGGAUUAGAAACCCCGGUAGUCCAUGCCAUAAACGAUGUUCACUAAGCGUCGGCGGGUUUAAAUCCGUCGGUGUUGAAGCCAACGCAGUAAGUGAACCGCCUGGGGAGUACGGUCGCAAGGCUAAAACUCAAAGGAAUUGACGGGGGACCGCACAAGCAGCGGAGCGUGUGGUUUAAUUCGAGGCUACACGAAGAACCUUACCUGGGUUUGACAUCGUGUUGAAGUGCC
RNAcentral lists this ribosomal RNA (960 nucleotides) under uncultured Leptolinea sp. Its description in RNAcentral is "bacterial SSU rRNA". It matches the Rfam family "Bacterial small subunit ribosomal RNA", at positions 28 to 1001 of the family's 1533-position model. The record is from RNAcentral. Lineage: Bacteria; Bacillati; Chloroflexota; Anaerolineae; Anaerolineales; Anaerolineaceae.